Molecule: ribosomal RNA, 497 nt
Filed under: uncultured bacterium
Lineage: Bacteria
Description: partial 16S ribosomal RNA
Rfam family: Bacterial small subunit ribosomal RNA
Source: RNAcentral
GAUGAACGCUGGCGGCGUGCCUAAUACAUGCAAGUCGAGCGAACGGACGAGAAGCUUGCUUCUCUGAUGUUAGCGGCGGACGGGUGAGUAGCACGUGGAUAACCUACCUAUAAGACUGGGAUAACUUCGGGAAACCGGAGCUAAUACCGGAUGAUAUUUUGAACCGCAUGGUUCAAAAGUGAAAGACGGUCUUGCUGUCACUUAUAGAUGGAUCCGCGCUGCAUUAGCUAGUUGGUAAGGUAACGGCUUACCAAGGCAACGAUGCAUAGCCGGCCUGAGAGGGUGAUCGGCCACACUGGAACUGAGACACGGUCCAGACUCCUACGGGAGGCAGCAGUAGGGAAUCUUCCGCAAUGGGCGAAAGCCUGACGGAGCAACGCCGCGUGAGUGAUGAAGGUCUUCGGAUCGUAAAACUCUGUUAUUAGGGAAGAACAUAUGUGUAAGUAACUGUGCACAUCUUGACGGUACCUAAUCAGAAAGCCACGGCCAACUACGUG